RNAcentral lists this transfer RNA (73 nucleotides) under Nocardioides sp. RNAcentral describes it as "tRNA-Gly". It matches the Rfam family "tRNA". Rfam says of the family: Transfer RNA (tRNA) molecules are approximately 80 nucleotides in length. Their secondary structure includes four short double-helical elements and three loops (D, anti-codon, and T loops). RNAcentral also lists the same sequence under 10 other names. Lineage: Bacteria; Bacillati; Actinomycetota; Actinomycetes; Propionibacteriales; Nocardioidaceae. The record is from RNAcentral.
GCGGACGUGGCUCAGUUGGUAGAGCACAACCUUGCCAAGGUUGGGGUCGCGGGUUCGAAUCCCGUCGUCCGCU